RNAcentral lists this ribosomal RNA (273 nucleotides) under uncultured bacterium. RNAcentral describes it as "partial 16S ribosomal RNA". It matches the Rfam family "Bacterial small subunit ribosomal RNA", at positions 524 to 796 of the family's 1533-position model. The record is from RNAcentral.
UACGGAGGGUGCAAGCGUUAAUCGGAAUUACUGGGCGUAAAGCGCGCGUAGGCGGCUUGGUCAGUGAGGUGUGAAAGCCCUGGGCUCAACCUGGGAACUGCAUCUCAUACUGUCAGGCUAGAGUAUGGUAGAGGAGUGUGGAAUUUCCUGUGUAGCGGUGAAAUGCGUAGAUAUAGGAAGGAACACCAGUGGCGAAGGCGGCACUCUGGACCAAUACUGACACUGAGGUGCGAAAGCGUGGGGAGCAAACAGGAUUAGAUACCCGCGUAGUCC